This 230-nucleotide ribosomal RNA is filed under the name uncultured Leptotrichia sp. Its description in RNAcentral is "partial 16S ribosomal RNA". It matches the Rfam family "Bacterial small subunit ribosomal RNA", at positions 125 to 354 of the family's 1533-position model. Lineage: Bacteria; Fusobacteriati; Fusobacteriota; Fusobacteriia; Fusobacteriales; Leptotrichiaceae. The record is from RNAcentral.
CUUGCCCUUUAGACUGGGAUAACAGAGGGAAACUUCUGAUAAUACUGGAUAAGUUAGUAUAUCGCAUGAUAUGCAAAUGAAAGCUACGGCACUAAAGGAGAGCUUUGCGUCCUAUUAGCUAGUUGGUAAGGUAAGAGCUUACCAAGGCGAUGAUAGGUAGCCGGCCUGAGAGGGUGGACGGCCACAAGGGGACUGAGAUACGGCCCUUACUCCUACGGGAGGCAGCAGAC